CUUGUGGGAAGACCGUCUCCAUACAAUAACAAAAGAUACAACUCUUAGCGGUGGAUAUCUUGGUUCUCGCAACGAUGAAGAACGCAGCCAACUGCGAUACCUAAUGUGUGAAUUGCAGGACUCCGUGAAUCAUUAAGUCUUUGAACGCAAGUUGC
RNAcentral lists this ribosomal RNA (155 nucleotides) under Porphyra oligospermatangia. RNAcentral describes it as "5.8S ribosomal RNA". The stretch from base 40 to 155 matches the Rfam family "5.8S ribosomal RNA", at positions 1 to 114 of the family's 154-position model. From Rfam's summary of the family: 5.8S ribosomal RNA (5.8S rRNA) is a component of the large subunit of the eukaryotic ribosome. It is transcribed by RNA polymerase I as part of the 45S precursor that also contains 18S and 28S rRNA. Lineage: Eukaryota; Rhodophyta; Bangiophyceae; Bangiales; Bangiaceae. The record is from RNAcentral.